AUUGUAGGGCAUCGAUAGCUGAUUAAUUGCUGGUGCCAAUUGCUGAUUUCGCAAUUAUUUUUGAAUUUAAUUCGUAUUUUGGCUUAUUUCUCUUCUCAAUUAACGGCAAUAGCUUUUACAUUGCCGGCUAGGGAGAGAGCUCUCUCUCUCAAUCGAACGCCUCUCAAUUAUAGCGAAUAAGCGUAUGAAGCGCAUGGCCCGCACACAUGGGCCUUUGUGCCUGUAUGUGUGUGUGCAUGAAUGGAAUGGCGUGGAAUGGGAGGGAAAACAAAUUUGACAAUUGUACGCGCGCCACGAACGAAAUGAACAAAACAAAACUGAAACGGCAUUGCUUGUCGCCGGUUUUACUUUGAUGGAUUUAUGCGAAUCGGCAUGUGCAGAAAUUCAAACAGAGCGCGCGAAAAUAUCUAGAUGGUUUUAAAUGUGCCAGAUUACGCUGUCCCUCUCUUUCGCACCCACGGCCCCGGGGUAUAUACAAUCGUACAUAUCUAUCUAUAUGUAUACAUACAACUAAAUAUGUAUGUCCGUAAGUAAGUCGCCCUAUGCAUGUGUGCGUGUGUGUGUGUCUGUGCGAUUUGGUCUAUAUGCAAGUACAAAAUUUGAAAGUAACCCGCUUCUGGCGCAUUUUCCAUCCCCGUCCCCUGACCGCCGCCCGCCCCCUCCCCCGUGAUCAUCAACUUGGCAGAGGUCGAAGGGCAUCCGGAGCAAGGAGCAAGCCACCUAACCAAUCGCCAUCAUCAUUAAAGACCCCAAACCCCAACUAUCGCCGCACUUUAUGUUAUACAUACACGUGACCCUUUUCGAUAUCGAGUAAAUUAGCCAAUUCAUAUUUUUCAGUGCAAAGUAACAGAGUUAAGCAGAAAUUACUGAGGCAGUUGGGUCCUAUUAUCUCAAAAGUUCAUUCUAUAGGAUCAAAAGUUUAGAUACAAGAUACAUUUUUAAGAUUGAUCGCCGUCCUCGAAUGUAUUUAAAUGGAUUAUUAUUAGUUAUUAAUUACUUUUCGUGUAAUCAGAUGAUUUCGUGAAUUAAAAGAAAUUACGUAUCAGCUUCAAAACUUCAGUUGUUCGAGGACUUGCUCUAGAGAAUUUGGACUUCGAUCAAGAUUAAAGAUCCAUCUGUAUUGCUAUUGAUCAACAACUUUUCUUGACCAAAAAAUUUAAAUUUUUUAUCUAUUUGUUUGGUCAUUACUUGCAAAUUGUAAGCAAAAAUAAUUGUCUAUGUAAAUGUAUGUAAAUUGUGUAUGUAAAUUUUUCAGUUUCAAUUUAAAGAUCAGUCCUUCUAUUAUCUUUUCUUACAGUUUAAGUAUAUGUAAACAAAUUCAAAUUGAUUAUAUAAACCAUGUUUAAAUUCACAUAUCUAUGAUAAAAUGUAUACUACAAAAAAUAAAGAUAAAGAUCAUUUAAAAAAAUAUCACUACAUAUAUUAGGAUGUGAGUCACUGAUAUUUUUCCAAGUUGUAUGAUUCACGUAAAGUACAUGCUUGAAAAAUAAUGAAAAUAAUAAGUAAGUUAAUUUUAAACGACUUUAAA
Drosophila yakuba is the source of this 1528-nucleotide long non-coding RNA. RefSeq lists it as uncharacterized. Lineage: Eukaryota; Metazoa; Arthropoda; Insecta; Diptera; Drosophilidae. The record is from RefSeq and is a predicted model, not a curated record. The transcript has 2 exons.